AGCCGUCGGAGGCAGGCGAGAGCCUGUGGAGCUACCGUGAUCCCUAGCAACUCGCACGCAGAGACUGCCAUCCAUCGAUCGCGCGCCAUGUCUUGGUGAGCUGGGCGGUAAUUAAUAAAAUCUAAGUACGUACUACUAUAGCAUCUAGCUAGCUAGCGACCCGAAUUAAUCAUGCAUGGCAAGAUAAGGAGAGAGAAGUAGGGUACACUCAACACACAUCCAUAUGGACCCAGAGGCCGGCCGGUGCGCCGCAGCGUCCUCUAUCUGGUAAUAUAUAUAUAUGUAUAUAUGCCAUAAGGAGCGUUGUUAAUACUCAUAUAUAUGCCACCCAGUACCCACUUCGAUUUUUUGUGUCCUAGCUAGCUAGCUAAUUAAUUACCUUUUCCAAUUUACCUUUUCUUUGUUACUUUUGGCAGUUCUUUUUUCGUUUUAAUUGUGAUUCCGUGUGACUAAGCCAAGUCGUCCACUUGCUGAUUCACUUGGAUUAUUGCUCGUUUUAGUAUAAGAGCAUGCAAGCACGUGGUUUUUUUCUAAGUGCCAAGUGAAUCUCUCAUGUCAGUGAGACUUGGUGCUGGCUAUAUAUGUACAUGGGUGUGCCAUCACUGUAACUGUAGACCAGGAAAAAUAUUAUGUGGUGGACAAGCAAAGAGGUGCAGACAUGCAUGCAUGGUUACACUUUAGCCUUUUCUAGAUGUUGUCACCUUUUGUAGUAGUUUAUAUACAGGAACAGGUUGGGGAAGUUGGCCGUUGAAAAGAUCCUGAGCAAGCAGUUUGGUGGGCAUUCUUUUAAGUUAUAUAUAUACAACUCCAUCUGCUCGCAACCAGUGUCAUUGUUUCAAACAAUAGAUUUGCCACUCCUCAAUAAUAAUGCAAGGGUUUGAUGCUCAUGUGAUUAUAUGAGACUAUAAAGACAGGCAUGGGAGUAGCAAAUCCUCAAAUAUCAC
Molecule: long non-coding RNA, 944 nt
Filed under: Oryza brachyantha (malo sina)
Lineage: Eukaryota; Viridiplantae; Streptophyta; Magnoliopsida; Poales; Poaceae
Description: long non-coding RNA (OBRA_LNC000591)
Source: RNAcentral